RNAcentral lists this ribosomal RNA (468 nucleotides) under uncultured bacterium. RNAcentral's name for it is "partial 16S ribosomal RNA". It matches the Rfam family "Bacterial small subunit ribosomal RNA", at positions 28 to 507 of the family's 1533-position model. The record is from RNAcentral.
GACGAACGCUGGCGGCGUGCUUAACACAUGCAAGUCGAACGGAAAGGCCCUGCUUUUGUGGGGUGCUCGAGUGGCGAACGGGUGAGUAACACGUGAGUAACCUGCCCUUGACUUUGGGGUAACUUCAGGAAACUGGGGCUAAUACCGGAUAGGAGCUCCUGCUGCAUGGUGGGGGUUGGAAAGUUUCGGCGGUUGGGGAUGGACUCGCGGCUUAUCAGCUUGUUGGUGGGGUAGUGGCUUACCAAGGCUUUGACGGGUAGCCGGCCUGAGAGGGUGACCGGCCACAUUGGGACUGAGAUACGGCCCAGACUCCUACGGGAGGCAGCAGUGGGGAAUAUUGCACAAUGGGCGGAAGCCUGAUGCAGCAACGCCGCGUGCGGGAUGACGGCCCUCGGGUUGUAAACCGCUUUCGCCUGUGACGAAGCGUGAGUGACGGUAAUGGGUAAAGAAGCACCGGCUAACUACGUG